RNAcentral lists this ribosomal RNA (447 nucleotides) under uncultured bacterium. RNAcentral describes it as "bacterial SSU rRNA". It matches the Rfam family "Bacterial small subunit ribosomal RNA", at positions 355 to 825 of the family's 1533-position model. The record is from RNAcentral.
UGGGGAAUUUUGGACAAUGGGCGCAAGCCUGAUCCAGCCAUGCCGCGUGGAUGAUGAAGGCCUUAGGGUUGUAAAAUCCUUUCGUUGGGGGCGAUAAUGACGGUACCCAAAGAAGAAGCUCCGGCUAACUUCGUGCCAGCAGCCGCGGUAAUACGAAGGGGGCUAGCGUUGUUCGGAUUUACUGGGCGUAAAGCGCGUGUAGGCGGGUCGUUAAGUUGGGGGUGAAAUCCCGAGGCUCAACCUCGGAACUGCCUUCAAAACUGGCGACCUGGACCUAAGUAGAGGCAAGUGGAAUUGCGAGUGUAGAGGUGAAAUUCGUAGAUAUUGGGAAGAACACCAGUGGCGAAGGCGGCUAACUGGUCCGGUACUGACGCUGAGGUGCGAAAGCGUGGGGAGCAAACAGGAUUAGAUACCCGGGUAGUCCCUGAGCGGGCUGGCAAGGCGCAU